RNAcentral lists this ribosomal RNA (464 nucleotides) under uncultured bacterium. Its description in RNAcentral is "partial 16S ribosomal RNA". It matches the Rfam family "Bacterial small subunit ribosomal RNA", at positions 28 to 507 of the family's 1533-position model. The record is from RNAcentral.
GACGAACGCUGGCGGCGUGCUUAACACAUGCAAGUCGAACGGACAGGCCCCUUUCGGGCUACUCGGAUGGCAACCGGGUAAGUAACACGAGAGUAAGCAUACCUUGCCUACGGGAUAACUUUAGGAACCUGAGGCUAAUACCGGUAAGGAAUCAUAGCUUCAUGGUGGGGGUUGGAUAGCUUGCGCGGGUUUGGAUGGACCCGCGGCUUAUCAGCUUGUUGGUGGGGUAGUGGCGUACCAAGACUUUGACGGGUAGCCGGCCUGAGAGGGCGACCGGCCACAUUGGGACUGCGAUACGGCCCAGACUCCUACGGGAGGCAGCAGUGGGGAAUAUUGCAGAAUGGGCGGAAGCCUGAUGCAGCAAUGCCGCGUGCGGGAUGACGGCCUACGGGUUGUAAACCGCUGUCAGCGGGGGUGAAGCUUUUGUGACGGUACCUGCAGAAGAAGCACCGGCUAACUACGUG